UUGAAAGAUAAUGAACAUGAAGAUCAAUGCCGCCCGCGGUGAGAAUCAGUCCCUCACCAGAAAUCGCCUCUGUACUUGCUCCGACGAUGAAAUCAACCUUGUCCAUGAUAUCCGGGUUUCCGCCCUUGCCGAUGGCGAGGAUCUUGCCAUCACGAAUGCCGAUAUCCGCCUUGUAGAUCCCCGUGUAAUCGAUCACUGUGAUUCCCGUGAUAAUGGUAUCCGCAACCUUC
Molecule: small RNA, 230 nt
Filed under: uncultured Eubacterium sp.
Lineage: Bacteria; Bacillati; Bacillota; Clostridia; Eubacteriales; Eubacteriaceae
Description: 5' ureB small RNA
Rfam family: 5' ureB small RNA
Source: RNAcentral